GACGAACGCUGGCGGCGUGCUUAACACAUGCAAGUCGAACGGACAGGCCCUGCUUUUGUUGCUUGCUCGAUUGUCGCACGGGUGAGUAACACGUGAGUAACCUGCCCUUGUCUUUGUGAUAACUUCACGAAACUCGGGCUCAUACCCCAUAUGAUCUCCUGCUGCAUGUUGUUCGUUGGAAAGUUUCGGCUGUUGGGGAUGGACUCGCGGCUUAUCCGCUUGUUUGUGUGGUAGUUGCUUGCCAAGGCUUUGACGGGUAGCCGGCCUGAGAGGGGUAACGGAGACAAUGGGACUGAGAGACGGCCCAGAAGCGUAAGGGAGGCAGCAGGGGGGAAUAUGGCAGAAUGGGGGGAAGCGUGAGGCAGAAACGCCGGGUGCGGGAUGAUGGCCUUCGGGGUGUAAACAGAUUUGGAAGGUGACGAAGAGGGAGUGACGGUAAUGGGUAAAGAAGCAACGGCUAACUACGUG
This 468-nucleotide ribosomal RNA is filed under the name uncultured bacterium. RNAcentral describes it as "partial 16S ribosomal RNA". It matches the Rfam family "Bacterial small subunit ribosomal RNA", at positions 28 to 507 of the family's 1533-position model. The record is from RNAcentral.